Molecule: ribosomal RNA, 492 nt
Filed under: uncultured bacterium
Lineage: Bacteria
Description: partial 16S ribosomal RNA
Rfam family: Bacterial small subunit ribosomal RNA
Source: RNAcentral
AGUGAACGCUGGCGGUAGGCCUAACACAUGCCAGUCGAACGGCAGCACAGUAAGAGCUUGCUCUUACGGGUGGCGAGUGGCGGACGGGUGAGGAAUACAUCGGAAUCUACUUUUUUGUGGGGGAUAACGUAGGGAAACUUACGCUAAUACCGCAUACGACCUACGGGUGAAAGCAGGGGAUCUUCGGACCUUGCGCGAUUGAAUGAGCCGAUGUCGGAUUAGCUAGUUGGCGGGGUAAAGGCCCACCAAGGCGACGGUCCGUAGCUGGUCUGAGAGGAUGAUCAGCCACACUGGAACUGAGACACGGUCCAGACUCCUACGGGAGGCAGCAGUGGGGAAUAUUGGACAAUGGGCGCAAGCCUGAUCCAGCCAUACCGCGUGGGUGAAGAAGGCCUUCGGGUUGUAAAGCCCUUUUGUUGGGAAAGAAAAGCAGCAGGUUAAUACCCCGCUGUUCUGACGGUACCCAAAGAAUAAGCACCGGCUAACUUCGUG